Molecule: ribosomal RNA, 450 nt
Filed under: uncultured bacterium
Lineage: Bacteria
Description: bacterial SSU rRNA
Rfam family: Bacterial small subunit ribosomal RNA
Source: RNAcentral
GAUGAACGCUGGCGGCGUGCUUAAUACAUGCAAGUCGAGCGAAGCGCUUUAACGGAAUUCUUCGGGAGGAAGAUAAAGUGACUGAGCGGCGGACGGGUGAGUAACGCGUGGGUAACCUGCCUCAUACAGGGGGAUAACAGUUAGAAAUGGCUGCUAAUACCGCAUAAGCGCACAGGACCGCAUGGUCUGGUGUGAAAAACUCCGGUGGUAUGGGAUGGACCCGCGUUGGAUUAGGUAGUUGGUGGGGUAACGGCCUACCAAGCCGACGAUCCAUAGCCGGCCUGAGAGGGUGGACGGCCACAUUGGGACUGAGACACGGCCCAGACUCCUACGGGAGGCAGCAGUAGGGAAUAUUGCACAAUGGGGGAAACCCUGAUGCAGCGACGCCGCGUGAAGGAAGAAGUAUCUCGGUAUGUAAACUUCUAUCAGCAGGGAAGACAAUGACGGUAC